GCCCGACCAUAAACCCUGAUUAUCCCACACAAAUAACCCGCCAGAGAACUACAAGCGAAAAGCCCAAAACUCCAAGGACUUGACGGUGUCUCAUACAACCUAGAGGAGCCUGUCCUACAACCGAUACCCCACGCUACACCCAACCUUCUCUCGCACCAUGCAGCCUAUAUACCGCCGUCGUCAGUUCGCCCCCUGAGGGGGCCGCAGCGAACAAAACACUCCAACCACUAACACGUCAGGUCAAGGUGUAGCCCAUGAGAAGGGAGAGAUGGGCUACAUUCUCACCACACCUGAGUACACCAACAGCAACAUGAAACUUUUAGCCACAAGGUGGAUUUAGCAGUAAAUCGAACAAGACCUGCUCGCUUGAACACAGCCCUGAGACGCGUACACACCGCCCGUCACCCUCAUCAAAACAAAACCACCACACAAUAAACCCUCUUUACCAAACCCGCCAAAUCCCAGAUGAGACAAGUCGUAACAUGGUAAGUGUACUGGAAAGUGCAA
Molecule: ribosomal RNA, 507 nt
Filed under: Sphaerodactylus klauberi
Lineage: Eukaryota; Metazoa; Chordata; Lepidosauria; Squamata; Sphaerodactylidae
Description: partial 12S ribosomal RNA
Rfam family: Bacterial small subunit ribosomal RNA
Source: RNAcentral